AGUAAUGCAUCGGAACAUGUCCAUUCGUGGGGGAUAGCCCGGCGAAAGCCGGAUUAAUACCGCAUACGCCCUGAGGGGGAAAGCGGGGGACUUCGCAAGAGGCCUCGCGCGAAUGGGUUGGCCGAUGUCCGAUUAGCUAGUUGGUGGGGUAAUGGCCCACCAAGGCGACGAUCAGUAGCCGGCCUGAGAGGGUGAUCGGCCACACUGGGACUGAGACACGGCCCAG
Molecule: ribosomal RNA, 226 nt
Filed under: uncultured bacterium
Lineage: Bacteria
Description: partial 16S ribosomal RNA
Rfam family: Bacterial small subunit ribosomal RNA
Source: RNAcentral